UACGUAGGAGGGAAGCGUUAUCCGGAAUUAUUGGGCGUAAAGCGUCCGUAGGUGGUUGACCAAGUCUGCUGUCAAAGGGUGGGGCUUAACCUCAUAAAGGCAGUGGAAACUGGUGAUCUAGAGUGCGUUAGGGGUAAGGGGAAUUCCCAGUGUAGCGGUGAAAUGCGUAGAGAUUGGGAAGAACAUCGGUGGCGAAAGCGCCUUGCUGGGCCUGCACUGACACUGAGGGACGAAAGCUAGGGGAGCGAAAGGG
Molecule: ribosomal RNA, 253 nt
Filed under: uncultured bacterium
Lineage: Bacteria
Description: partial 16S ribosomal RNA
Rfam family: Bacterial small subunit ribosomal RNA
Source: RNAcentral